Long non-coding RNA from Olea europaea var. sylvestris, 284 nucleotides. RefSeq lists it as uncharacterized. The record is from RefSeq and is a predicted model, not a curated record. NCBI's taxonomy places the organism in Eukaryota, Viridiplantae, Streptophyta, Magnoliopsida, Lamiales, Oleaceae. The transcript has 2 exons.
UUUUCCCAAAAUUAAACUCAUUGGCUCAAACCAAAACCUAACAUCCAUAUCCCCUCUGAAGACGAUAACCUCUACAGUCUACCCACCUCUCUCAACCUGUGUAUCGUCUUCAAUUCUUCUUGUCUCCAGAUUCUCGACUGACUCUCUUCUAAGUCUAAUCGCUCGGCGAGGAGUCCUAUAAGGUGAGCCCUCAAUUUUCUGCUCCAUUGUUCCAACUGCCAAGGUGAAGCACAAAGGAAUAGAAAAAGAGACAUGGCAAUAGAAGAUUCACACAAGAAAUCGAA